AAAAAAAAUAGAAAAAAAAAAGUAAUUUUUCGUAAGAAUUAAUAGUGUCUAUACAAUUUUGGACAAAAAAUUACAAAUUGAUCACUAAAAUUUACAAAUCAAUCUCAUAGUAUGGGCUAAAUACAAACCGCAAAACUAAAUCAAAAAAAAAAAAAUACAAAUACCAAAAUCAAUUUCUAUCACACAAAUAAAAUUUGAAACCAAUUAUACACAAAAUCAAACAGCCAUGAACAUGAAGUCGCAAGCUCCGUCGACACAGAACCCCUGAAUACGAAGCUCCGUUGAAUGCCAUCCACCUGCACAUAAAAGAGGGAGAGAGAGAGAGGUGACAGUAGUUCAAAUCUUGACCAUGGGACUUCGAAUGGGAAUCUCAAAUCUGCAUCGCAUGAGUAGACAAGUCAAAGAGACACCGAAACAGAGAGAAAUUGAGUUGCGCACAAAGUAACCUUUGGGAUCUCUGUCAUUGGUCUACACCUUGACAGACACGUCAAAGCUCACCAUACGUCGCUGGUUUGGCUGGACUUGAUGAAGAGAGAACGGAAGAAAGAGAGAGGAAGAAAGACGAUGAGAGAAAGAGCUCAAGGGUGGGGAUGGAGGUUCGGGGUUACUGAGGCCGAGAAAUCUUGUUUAUUAGUCCGUUUGGACCACUGAUGACUGAAGAUGGUCGUUCCCCACCUGGGUUGGCACCGCACAAGAGAAACGAAGAGAGAAGGCAGAUGUAUGUGUUUUAGGUUUACAGUUUUUUUCUUUUGGUUU
Long non-coding RNA from Cannabis sativa, 756 nucleotides. RefSeq lists it as uncharacterized. Lineage: Eukaryota; Viridiplantae; Streptophyta; Magnoliopsida; Rosales; Cannabaceae. The transcript has 2 exons. The record is from RefSeq and is a predicted model, not a curated record.